Molecule: ribosomal RNA, 396 nt
Filed under: uncultured bacterium
Lineage: Bacteria
Description: bacterial SSU rRNA
Rfam family: Bacterial small subunit ribosomal RNA
Source: RNAcentral
GAUGAACGCUGGCGGCGUGCUUAACACAUGCAAGUCGAACGGAGUUUACCAGAGUGCUUGCACUCAGGUAAACUUAGUGGCGGACGGGUGAGUAACGCGUGGGUAACCUGCCUUAUACAGGGGGAUAACAGUCGGAAACGACUGCUAAUACCGCAUAAUGUGCCGGGAGGGCAUCCUCUUGGUACCAAAGAUUUAUUGCUCUGAGAUGGGCUCGCGUCUGAUUAGAUAGUUGUGGGUAACGGCCACCAAGUCGACGAUCAGUAGCCGGGUUGAGAGACUGAACGGCCACAUUGGGACUGAGAUACGGCCCAGACUCCUACGGGAGGCAGCAGUGGGGAAUCUUCCGCAAAUGGGCGAAAGCCUGACGGAGCAACGCCGCGUGAGUGAAGAAGGCCU